RNAcentral lists this ribosomal RNA (468 nucleotides) under uncultured bacterium. RNAcentral's name for it is "partial 16S ribosomal RNA". It matches the Rfam family "Bacterial small subunit ribosomal RNA", at positions 28 to 507 of the family's 1533-position model. The record is from RNAcentral.
GACGAACGCUGGCGGCGUGCUUAACACAUGCAAGUCGAACGGAAAGGCCCUGCUUUUGUGUGGUGCUCGAGUGGCGAACGGGUGAGUAACACGUGAGUAACCUGCCCUUUACUUGGGGAUAACUUCAGGAAACUGGGGCUAAUACCGGAUAGGAGCUCCUGCUGCAUGGUGGGGGUUGGAAAGUUUCGGCGGUUUGGGAUGGACUCGCGGCUUAUCAGCUUGUUGGUGGGGUAGUGGCUUACCAAGGCUUUGACGGGUAGCCGGCCUGAGAGGGUGACCGGCCACCGUGGGACUGAGAGACGGCCCAGAGUCCUACGGGAGGCAGCAGGGGGGAAUAUUGCACAAUGGGCGGACGCCUGAUGCAGCAACCCCGCGUGCGUGAUGACGGCCUACGGGUUGUAAACCGCUUUCGCCUGUGACGAAGCGUGAGUGACGGUAAUGGGUAAAGAAGCACCGGCUAACUACGUG